This 213-nucleotide long non-coding RNA is filed under the name Mus musculus (house mouse). Its description in RNAcentral is "long non-coding RNA chr4:138425789-138426002". The record is from RNAcentral. Lineage: Eukaryota; Metazoa; Chordata; Mammalia; Rodentia; Muridae.
AUGCCUUGUAAAAUUGAGGAGAUCAAGGACUUUCUGCUGACAGCCCGGCGGAAGGAUGCCAAGUCUGUCAAGAUCAAGAAAAACAAGGAUAAUGUGAAGUUCAAGGUUCGCUGCAGCAGGUACCUUUACACCCUGGUUAUCACAGACAAGGAAAAGGCAGAGAAGUUGAAGCAGUCCCUACCCCCGGGUUUGGCAGUGAAGGAUCUGAAAUGA